GCACCAGUAACUCAGUUGGAAAGAGUAACGGUUUUCUAAACCGUAGGUCAAUGGUUCGAGUCCAUUCUGGUGCA
This 74-nucleotide transfer RNA is filed under the name Flavobacterium sp. Its description in RNAcentral is "tRNA-Arg". It matches the Rfam family "tRNA". Rfam says of the family: Transfer RNA (tRNA) molecules are approximately 80 nucleotides in length. Their secondary structure includes four short double-helical elements and three loops (D, anti-codon, and T loops). Lineage: Bacteria; Pseudomonadati; Bacteroidota; Flavobacteriia; Flavobacteriales; Flavobacteriaceae. The record is from RNAcentral.